RNAcentral lists this ribosomal RNA (2415 nucleotides) under human gut metagenome. RNAcentral's name for it is "bacterial LSU rRNA". It matches the Rfam family "Bacterial large subunit ribosomal RNA", at positions 487 to 2925 of the family's 2925-position model. The record is from RNAcentral.
AUAGCGUAUAGUACCGUGAGGGAAAGGUGAAAAGAACCCCGGGAGGGGAGUGAAAUAGAACCUGAAACCCUGCACUUACAAGCUGUGGAAGCACAUUUCUUGUGUGACCGCGUACUUUUUGUAGAACGGGCCAACGAGUUACGUUAAGUAGCAAGGUUAAGCACUUAAGGUGCGGAGCCGUAGCGAAAGCGAGUUUUAACUGAGCGUUCAGUUACUUGACGUAGACCCGAAACCGGGCGACCUACCCAUGAGCAGGAUGAAGCGAAAGUAAAAUUUCGUGGAGGUCCGAACCCACGAGCGUUGAAAAGCUCGGGGAUGACUUGUGGGUAGCGGUGAAAUUCCAAUCGAGCCCGGAGAUAGCUGGUUCUCCCCGAAAUAGCUUUAGGGCUAGCCUCAAGGUGAGAGAUACGGAGGUAGAGCACUGAAUGUCCUAGGGGGUAUUGCACCUACCGAAGACUAUCAAACUCCGAAUGCCGUCAUCUUAUACUUGGGAGUCAGACUGUGGGUGAUAAGAUUCAUAGUCGAAAGGGCAACAGCCCAGAUCGUCAGCUAAGGUCCCUAAAUGUAAGUUAAGUGGUAAAGGAUGUGGGAUUGCACAGACAACCAGGAUGUUGGCUUAGAAGCAGCCACUCAUUCAAAGAGUGCGUAAUAGCUCACUGGUCGAGUGAUCCUGCGCCGAAGAUUUCCGGGGCUAAAACUUACUACCGAAGCUACGGCAUCAGUAAUGAUGGGUAGGGGAGCUUCCCAUACGGGUUGAAGCAUGACCGUAAGGACAUGUGGACAGUAUGGGAGUGAGAAUGUUGGCAUGAGUAGCGAGAUGUGGGUGAGAAUCCCACAGGCCGUAAACCCAAGGUUUCCAGGGGAAGGUUCGUCCGCCCUGGGUUAGUCAGGACCUAAGCUGAGGCCGAAAGGCGUAGGUGAUGGACAACAGGUUGAUAUUCCUGUACUACCGAUAACCGUUUGAGAGAAGGGAUGACACAGUAGGAUAAGCUAAGCACACUGUUGGUUAUGUGUGCCCAAGCAUUGAGGCAGUCAAAGUAGGCAAAUCCGCUUUGAUAAUGCUGGGAUGUGAUGGGGAGCGAAAUUUAGUAGCGAAGUAGCUGAUUUCACACUGUCAAGAAAAGUCUCUAUCGAGGUUAAAGGUACCCGUACCGCAAACCGACACAGGUGGGUGAGGAGAGUAUCCUAAGGCCAGCGAGAGAACUGUUGUUAAGGAACUCGGCAAAAUGACCCCGUAACUUAGGGAGAAGGGGUGCCUUCGAAAGAAGGCCGCAGAGAAUAGGCCCAAGCGACUGUUUACCAAAAACAUAGGUUUCUGCUAAGUCGCAAGACGAUGUAUAGGAGCUGACGCCUGCCCGGUGCUGGAAGGUUAAGGGGAUCUGUUAGAGCAAUCGAAGCAGUGAACUUAAGCCCCAGUAAACGGCGGCCGUAACUAUAACGGUCCUAAGGUAGCGAAAUUCCUUGUCGGGUAAGUUCCGACCCGCACGAAAGGCGUAACGAUUUGGGCACUGUCUCAACAACAGACUCGGUGAAAUUGUAAUUCCGGUGAAGAUGCCGGAUACCUGCGACAGGACGGAAAGACCCCAUGGAGCUUUACUGUAGCUUGACAUUGGGUCUUGGUACUACAUGUACAGGAUAGGUGGGAGGCUUUGAAACCAGGACGCCAGUUUUGGCGGAGCCAUCCUUGGGAUACCACCCUUGUAGUACUGGGACUCUAACCAUAGGCCAUGAAUCUGGUCUUGGGACACUGUCAGGUGGGCAGUUUGACUGGGGCGGUCGCCUCCCAAAAGGUAACGGAGGCGCUCAAAGGUUCUCUCAGUACGGUCGGAAAUCGUACGUAGAGUGUAAAGGCAAAAGAGAGCUUGAUUGCAAGACAUACAGGUCGAGCAAGGACGAAAGUCGGACUUAGUGAUCCGGUGGUUCCGCAUGGAAGGGCCAUCGCUCAACGGAUAAAAGCUACCCUGGGGAUAACAGGCUGAUCUCCCCCAAGAGUCCACAUCGACGGGGAGGUUUGGCACCUCGAUGUCGGCUCAUCACAUCCUGGGGCUGUAGUAGGUCCCAAGGGUUGGGCUGUUCGCCCAUUAAAGUGGUACGCGAGCUGGGUUCAGAACGUCGUGAGACAGUUCGGUCCCUAUCCGUCGCAGGCGUAGGAAAUUUGAGAAGACCUGUCCUUAGUACGAGAGGACCGGGAUGGACGUACCUCUGGUGUACCAGUUGUCCUGCCAAGGGCAUGGCUGGGUAGCUAUGUACGGAAUGGAUAAGCGCUGAAAGCAUCUAAGCGCGAAGCCAACUUCAAGAUAAGAUUUCCCACCGCAAGGGUAAGACCCCAGAAAGACUAUCUGGUUGAUAGGUCGAAGGUGUAAGUGCAGCAAUGUAUUUAGCUUAUCGAUACUAAUAGGUCGAGGACUUGACCAA